Molecule: long non-coding RNA, 10073 nt
Organism: Mytilus trossulus (common blue mussel)
Lineage: Eukaryota; Metazoa; Mollusca; Bivalvia; Mytilida; Mytilidae
Exons: 8
Source: RefSeq, a predicted model, not a curated record
UUUAAAUUCAAAUUAGUUUGAUCUUUACAUGGACAAAGACUUGCAUUAUUUCUUGAAAAUUUUUGAAGACAUGAAAAAGUUUAAAAUUUCAAGACAAGUUAAAGUUCUUGGAUUCUAGGAACUUUAAUAUAGUCAUCCAAAUUGGUAUUGGAUAGGAAAACCAGACAUUAUAGCCAUUAUAUAGAUUUUCAACAAUGCUAGACUCAGAGUUUAUAUACAGUCACAGAACAAAAAGAAUUUACAAGACUAUCCACAAUCUUCUCAUUUUGAUGAAUUGUUUAACCGCAGAAACUUGAAGAAUACCUUCCGAAAAUCUAGGCUGUAUAGUAUAUACAACAAUAUAAAAGAAUGGGCCAGUUGUGUUCAUCUAUAAGGAACCCUAAAAUUGAGCAAUGACCUUGAAGAGUAAGCAACGUGUACAGUAAGAUAUCUAUCUUUGUAGUUACCAAAGAGUGGGGGUAAGAACCUGGUCUAUAAUUAUACAUGGUAAGUUAUUUUUUGUUGCUUAAAAAUUACGCAUAUUUACACUAUAAAUUUUUAUCUUAGAUCCUCAUUAGGAAAAAAGGGGAUGCAGGUAUACAUCAAUGAAGCAGCAAUCCAACAAAAGUAUUUUUCCAUGUCUCAAAUCCCACCCUUAAAAAUGAAUUGAAAAGUGCUCAAAUUUUUAGACCUGCUGAUAUGAAAACUUGUGCAAUGCCUAAAUCAAACAAUAAUUAUUUUUCUAAAUGGCUUCAAGGUUUAGAUAUGCUAGUUUAUAUUCUUUUAAACAAAACUACCAGAUGCAACUAAAUAUUUUUGAAAAUCUAUUAGAUGACACCAAGAGAAAAAUUCAAUCCUGUUAUUUUCUUUAAAUACUUUAUCAUUGGUCUUUAACUUUGUUAAUUUUUGAAUUGCUCUGGUACUUUAAUUUAUUCAAAUUUUUACAAGUGAAUGGAAGUUGUUUUGAUGAAAAUCACCUUUUAUAAAUGGGAAGUAACUUUGAUAUCUUUUUCUUAUGUGUUUUUAAAUGAAGCAAAAUUUCAUUUUUAAAAGAAACUGAAUUUCUUCUCUCAGUUGUUCCUAUUGGUAAUGUUUUUUUAUAUUCAUAAUUAAUAACUGAAGAGUAAAAUUACAGAAAUUGGUUACAUAACAGAGGAGGUUUAGGAGGGCAGGUGCCCCCCUUUUUCUGGAAAAAAUUUGGUUGCUUACAUAGGGAAUCACUGAAGUUUGGCUGGAGCGGGCCCCUUCAUAGGCAUUAAGUGGGCCUCCACUUAUGAAAAUUUCUGGAUUCGCCGCUGUAUAACAUAACCCUUUGCCUUGCUUUAAUACAUCAACACAUUAUUCUUCAUUUUCCACAAAAUUAAGGCCAGUGAUUUUGCUAGCGCUCGUCACUUUCGUAAUUUACGAAAGGGUUUUCGUAUUGACGAAAGUUUUUCAAAUCAAUUUAAGGCAAUGAUGUAGGAUGCCAUAAUCUAACAAAACACCACAGCAUUGUUACCCUCAUCAUCACACUAACAUGUCAAAUGUGUAUCCUACUUCAUAAUAUCAUUUGAUAAUGUUAAUAUUCAAGUUUUAAAAAAGAAUUUUUAUUAAAAUAUUUUACUCAUUUCUACUCUGCAGAGACUAUUUCACCAGCACUGACACUGAUGCACAGAGACUUCUGACAAAUAAGUACCUGUACUCAAUAGAGUUUAAUGCAACAUUGGCGACCGGGUUUGAGGCAUGGAAAGCACUCUUAUCAUUGAUGGUAGUUUUAAGUGCUUUGAUCUUUUAGAUGAGAUCUCACAUAGAAACUUAUGUUCCAAUGUUUCAUAUAAAUGUUCAGUGCUUUAUAACUGUCAGACAUAUGAUUGACUUUGACUGAAGACUUAUUAUUAGUGUCUGCAGAGUUUAAAUGAGUUUGAUCAAAACCCAGCUUAUAUAUUCCAAGUCUUGAAAAGAUUUGAUUUCAAUUUCCCAUUAAUUUAAUGUUUUUACUUUUGAUAGCAAGGCUGAGGGUUUAUGCACUAGAGUCAUCUUUUUUGGACAAAGAGGUUGUCACUGUUCCUCAACAAAAAUAUUAACGAACAAAUUUGUAAAUCUAAGCAAGAGGCACGCUGAGGAAAGACUUAUCUGUUUCUUUGAAGAUGAAAUGGUUAUAAAAAAUGUUUGAUUAUUUUGUGUAUUUUAUAACCAGCUUCCACUCUUUUGUAAAGUUUGGAAAAAAAAACCAUUAAAAAUAUUUAUCCCUUAAAGGGUAACAGGAUUUUUUUUUUAACAUUAACGAAAAUAAUAAAGUAAUAUUAAUUUGAUUUAAGCAGCCACUUAAGUAAAUUUUGUAAGAUUGAGGUAAAAAACAUGGCUGAUAUAUUAUUUUUUUCCAAGUAAAAAAUUGAACCUCAUUUUGGUCUGUAUUGCAUGCAACAUUUAAAUUGAUCAAAAGUAGUGGAUGGUUGCACAUAUAUACAGCAUGAUCAGAUCUUUCUUUAAAGGAAAGAAAUGUCAAAAUUUGAUAUAAAAAAGAAGCAACCACAAAAAUCAGCAUCCUAAUUUGGUCCCUAUAAAAUAUUAUUUCACAGGCAUAUACUAAAAUUUUUAUGCUUUCAUUUUUUACUAGCUUGAGAGAAAUUUUCUUUGAAAGUAAAAAUCUGAUAUUAAAUCCUCCAAUCAAGUAGCUUCAUUUAAAAUUCCACAAAACAUAAUGAGGCUAAAUUGCAUUCAAAUAGUUUCACCAAGGAGUUGUAAAUUUAGACUAUAAACUACAAAUCCUUGGUUUCACCCGGGUCCAAUAGUUGGAAAUAUUUGACAAGUCCAAUAGUUCAAAGCUUGUAAUUAGAAAAAUAGUGAAAAUAUUGUGUACAUGUACUUAUUUUAUUUAGAAAAUGAUAACUGAGGUAUAAGAAUGUAUACCUAUUGACUUUGUAUGAAUGGAGUAUAGUAAGUUUAUUGUUCCUCAUGAUAAAACUAUUGUCCUGAGGCGUAGCCGAGGGCAGUAGUUGUAUCUGAGGGGACAAUUAACUUAAUAUUCCCUCAUAUCCAGUCAAUUAGUGUUUUAUUAUAUUGAAAAAGACAACAGACAACAAAAGGCUGUGAUAACUCAACUAUCGCAAUGGCAGUAACCCAACAAUAACUUCAUAAAUAUUCUGAAAUGCUAAGGCUAUGUAUUGCACUGAUGUCAACCCUAGAUACAAUGGGUAAAAAUUACUACUCCUGGUAUUUUCAAAAUCCUCCAUUAUUGCUGCAUCGGAAAUCCAGCAAAAUAUGAUGAAGCUUGCAGUCAAAUAGUUUCAACGAGGUCCAAUAGUUGGAAAAUUUUGACUAAUCCAAUAGUUAAAAGCUUGUAAGUCAAAAUAUUGUGUACUUAUUUUUAUAUAGAAAAUGAUAACUAAGGUAAAACAAAUAUUUAUAUUUCAUUUCAGGGGGUAAAGUGACUUCAAAGAAUUGAAAUAAGGUUGGUUGAUCCAUUUUAUUUUAUGUUUUUUAUGUGUAAUGUUUUAUAUGUAUUUCUAUUUCAUUUACAGGUAAACCACAGACAUUUAAUUUAUAAAGUUUCUUUUUGUUGCAGAUGGAGCUGGGAGGAUGUUUCAGUCACAGACCUUGGAUGGACUCCGUUGUAGCAGACUAGGGAGGGUAGCGCAUAAGUUCUCGCAACGCUAUACAAUAGUAACAAGCUCAUUCUACUCUGAGAUUGUUAAAGGGCCUGUUUGAUGGAAGUGACACCAAUGUUCUCCAAUUUUAUUUUUGUUACAGAUGGAGCUGGGAGGAUGUUUCAGUCACAGACCUUGGAUGGACUCCGUUGUAGCAGACUAGGGAGGGUAGCGCAUAAGUUCUCGCAACGCUAUACAAUAGUAACAAGCUCAUUCUACUCUGAGAUUGUUAAAGGGCCUGUUUGAUGGAAGUGACACCAAUGUUCUCCAAUUUUAUUUUUGUUACAGAUGCAGCUGGGAGGAUGUUUCAGUCACAGACCUUGGAUGGACUCCGUUGUAGCAGACUAGGGAGGGUAGCGCAUAGUUCUCGCAACGCUAUACAAUAGUAACAAACUCAUUCUACUCUGAGAUUGUUAAAGGGCCUGUUUGAUAGAAGUGACGCCAACAUUCUCCAAAACUACUAAUUUAUAAAUUUUCUUUUUAUUACAGAUGGGGCUAGCGGCAGAUUCAGUCAUAAACCUUGAAUAUGGCUGAUUAGAGAUCUGCUUCAAUGGAAUUGACAAAAAAUUUCUAAAACAUAUCACUAAUCUUUAUUAUCUGUUUUCAUUACAGCGUUUAUACAGAGAAUAUAGGUAUACUGUAUUUUUAAUUUUUUUUGGUCCUGUUUGUAAGUUUGUCAUAAAGAAGUAGUAUGUGGUAUUAAUGUCAAUGGGAUAUGACACACAGAUGAAAAGAAGUUAAAUACCUUUAUAAGUAUGGAUGAAGAAAGACAGCCUUCCUCAUAACCAAAAGAAAGGACAGACAAAAAUAUACAAAACAAUACACAAACUAAAAAAUGUUAACACCAACCUAAUCAAAGACCAAGGAUGAACUCAGGUGAUCCAGGAAGUCGGCACCAAAAGAAAUGACAGACAAAAGUAUACAAAACACUAAACUCAAACAACUUAAAAUGCACAACAUCAAGCCAACCAGAGAUGAGGGGAUGAACUUAGGUGACCGAGGACAAAAGUACAUCUACUGGAUAGGUGUCUUACUACCAGUACAGGACAGAAGUUGCUUUUUUACUUGUACCACUGAAACUUCACAGAAUAAUUGUGUACAUUUUGAAGUUGUGUACCUGCUUAUAUGGAAUUGUUUGAGGAAUUUCCCCCCAUUUUUCUGUUAAUUCUGAUCUUGAAAAUUGUUUUCCAAAAUUUUCAAAGAUGGUACUAAUUUUGUGUAAUCAUUAACUGCUGCAGUUUUCAAUCUCAAUAUUUGUAACUUCACACAAUGAUUGUACAAAUAUUUAGCAACUUCAUUUUUUUCCUGACUUGGGAACUAAGUAAUUUUUCUUCAAAGGUAAAAAAACCCAUAUCUUUUUGAAUUCACAGAGAGUUUGCAAAUCUAUGAAGGCUUUUACAAAUUUUGGGACUAAAUAUGACUACUAUGAACAUGAGUAGUAAACCUUAAAAUUGAGAUGUUUUUUAUUAAACAAUUCUUCAAAAUAUUAUAUAAAUGUUGAUUUAAUGUGUUUAUUAUACUUUUACUACACUGUAAAUUUUUUUCUACAUUUGUAUAAAUAUUACUACACUGUACUUUUUUUCUUACAUUUGUAUAAAUAUUACUACACUGUACUUUUUUUCUUACAUUUUUAUAAAUAUUACUACACUGUACUUUUUUUUUCUUACAUUUGUAUAAAUAUUACUACACUGUAUUUUUUUCUUUCUUACAAAAAGUCAUCUGUAUAAAUAUUUUCAUAUCAGAUGUCUGAUAACUUAUAUAAAAUCUUUUAUCUAGAGCUCUGUAAAUAAAAAAAAUGUAAACAUAGUUCUAGAAUAUACUUUUAAUGAGUGGAAGAAAUUGUGGUGUACAGAAUACAUUUUUUAAAUUAUCAAAAUACCCCUUUACCUGUUCAAAAUCAUGUCUGGUGUAAUUUUUACAGUACUUUUUAAAUGAAUUAAUAAAUUAUUAGUAUUUUAAAUUGAGAAUUUCUUCAGUUUCCAUGAUUGUAAAAAUAAUGUGAGAUGCUUUGGAACAUUCUGAUGACUAAUAAUGAUGUACAAUGGAAAGGACGUUUCAUUACUUAGAUAAAAUGAAUUCAGUGGACUGAUUAGCAUAAAAAAGUAUGAUGGAAAACCUUUGAAGGCAGUCUGGAUAGCAGCUCUCAGGAAGAUGGUCAAAUAAAUCUUCAACCAAGUCUGAGGCUUUACCAAGAAAUUAAGAAGGUUCUUCUGUGAUAUGUUUUCAUUGUGUGGGAAUAAGACUUGGUGGUCUAAUACAACUAAUACAAAGGUUAGCAUCACAGCUUGUCUGUAAGGAUUGAAGCUGGGAGUGGGCAUUGGAGCUGACUUUUAUGGUAACUGUGGCUGCAAAAAAGGGCUAUGAGAUUUUACUGUAACAGUAGAGAGUGUCAUUCAGACUAUUAUUGUGUAUGUUUGAGAAAAUGUUUAUAAUUUUUACCAUAUAAAGAAAAAUAAUAUGUACAGGUUCUCCAUUUUCAACAAGAUUGGAAGAAGUUGGUUAAUAGGUCUUUGCAAUUUAAAAAAAAUCUAUUUUUUGUUCAUACUCAUAUCUAGGCAAACCACUUCCAGUAGUUUAAGAAUGGAGAAUCUAAAAAAAAAAGAAAAAGAAAAAAAAUGUUCAAUUAUUGAAAGGUUUUUGUUCAGCCUUUGGCUUUAGUCGAAAAUGAGAGAGAGACAUAAGGAUCCUACAUUCUGUUAUUUGCUUGGUCUGACGGCCUCCACAUAUGAGGGGGAAUAGGAGGGGUCCUGAUCCUGAAAUCCAGGGCUUAAAAACACGAAAUCCUGAGAUCCCGAAAUUGGAAGAAAAAAAAAUCCCAGAUCCCGAAAGGGUCAAUCCUGAAAUCCCAAGCUUAAAAACACCAGAUCCUGGAGUCCCAAUAAAGAUCCUAUCCCCCCUCACAUAUAUUCAGUAACUUACUUGCAUAAGCUGAACUUAGUUUUUGGUCAAGGUAGUUUUUAAUGAAGCUGAAGUCAAAUCAACCUGAAACUUAGUACACUUGUUGCUUAUAAUAUGACCUUUCUAAUUUUAAAGCCAAAUUAGACGUUUGACCCCAAUUUCACUGUCUACUGAACAUAGGAAAUGAAAGUGGGGGUUUCAGGUUAAAGUUUUUUUUAGUCAAGGUAGUUUUUGAUGAAAUUGAAGUCCAAUCAACUUGAAACUUAGUACACAUGUUCCCUAUAGUAUAAUCUUUCUAAUUUUAAUGCCAAAUUAGAUUUUUACCCAAUUUCAUGGUUCAUGGAACAUAGAGAAUGAUAGCGCGGGUGGGGCAUUUGUGUACUUUGGACACAUUCUUGUUCUGGUGUGAUUUGAACAGUCCCUCUCUCCCCUGGACAACCAAUCGUUUAUUGCUUAAAUUAUUCAUAUGAAUUUACAUUAAAAGGUUAAAAAAAAUGAUAUUGGUUAAUACUCUAUGCAGAGUGUGUGAUAUAUUUUUUUGUUUCGUCAGGUCUUUUAAGGCAUUCUUUUUCAAUUUUCAGAUCCCACAAAAAUAUAAGCUAAAGGAACCUGCAAAAUAAGAUUUUUCUUUGUUUAAUUUGUAAUGAUAUGUUUAAGAGGAAAAUGUUUGUAUUUGCCCAUCUUUGUCUUCCAUCCAAAACUACAAUUACAUAUAGUAAUCUGUAAGGUGGAUCCAGGGAUUAUGUAUGCAAGAGUAGGGUUUCAAUAAAACACAGAGUUAAAUGUUUUAUAAGAACAAGACUUUAUGGAUUGCUACAGUGAUUUAAUAAGAACUUUUAGGAAUUUUGGUCCUCAAUGCUCUUCAACUUCGUACUUUAUUUGGCAUUUCUAACUUUUUGGGAAAUCGAGCGUCACUGAUGUCAGCGUUGUAGACGAAACGCGUGUCUGGUGUAUAUGCUAAAUUUGGUCCUGGUAUCUGUGAUGAGUUUAUUUAAUAAGAUAUAUUUUGGUUCCUAUGGCACCUUUAUCAGGAUUGAAACUACAAGAUAGUACAAAAUCCUGUAGUGAUAAUUUAUAUUUCACAAUGUCACCAUCAGGAUACAUUAUGAAUAGGGUGUGAAGGUAGAUGUGAAAAUUAACUGGUUCAAGAAUGUUAAAUAAAAUGUUUUUGUAAAUUUGGACGACAUUUGACUUGCAAUUAUGUACUAUUUUCUACACUGGAUGUAGUACAGACUUGCUUAACGUACCAUUUCAACACUGAAAGAAGUACGUUUGUCUGAGCGAAGCCAAUUGGAAGCAUGUACCUCUUAGUGAAGCUAAUUGGGAGUACAUACCCUCUGUCUUGUUGCGAAGCUGAUUGGAAGCAGCUCAUAUACACCUCUGUCUGCUUAACCUAAUUAGAAGCAGUACCCUUGGCUAAGGGGUCCCAAUUAGAGGCAGUAACUCUGAGCGAAGCCAAUUGGAAGCAUGUACCUCUGCAAAAUUUGAUCAAAUAAUAUUCAACAAAUUUUAUUUAACAUUCUUUUAAAGUUUACUUUCAUAUCUUCUUUUAUUUUUUUAUUUAUUAUUAUUCCCCCUGUUGACAUUAAUUAUUAAGUGCAAAUUAUCACUUCACCAUUUUGUACUCUUUUGUCACUAAGUUUUUAUUCUGAUCAAAGUGCUGUAGAAAUUAAAACAAGCCAAUAUAGUUUAAUUACUCCAACAAUCCCUGAAGUAUUAUUAUAAGAAUUAUCAUAAAUGAAUCUUUUAUAGACCAUUGAAAUAAAAAUAAAUACUUUGCAUUUUGCUGGUUAUUUAUUUCACUUUGUGUCAAGCCUUCGAAUGUAGUUGAAAAAACAAGAAAUAGCAAUUCUUCAUCCUUUUGGCUGCUGCGGCGGUGAUAAAUAUUCACUCUGUAGUUUUAAGUUUUUGAAAUUUUAAUUAUAUUCUUAAACUAUCCUGGAUUUUUACAAAACUUGGACAGAAGCUUGUUUAUGAUCAUAAGAUAAUAGAAGUAAAUUUUGUAAUUUAAAAAAAAAAAUAUUUUUACUUAUAACUGGACUUUCUGCCAGGAAACAAUAUAUUCACUCUGUGGUUAAAGUUUUUCAAUUUUUUUAAUAGCUUUCUUAAACUAUCCUGGGUUUGUACCAAACUUGGACUGAACCUUGUUUAUGAUCAAGAGAUAAUAAUACGUAUCUAGCAGGAAAAUGUGUACCUGUUUAUCUGUAUUUUACUUAUAAAUGGACUUCGUUUUAUUUCCAGUUAAUAUUAUUUAGUCUGCAAACAUUUAUCAAACUCAAAAGAUCCAGAACUUUUCACAAAGGGGGGGAGGGACUCUCUAGUCAUGCUUCAAUGAUUCCCUAUAUAAUCAACCAAUUUUUUCAAGGGAAAAGGGGAGGGGCUGGAUUCCCCUUAGGUGGAUUUCUACCAAACUUGGACAGAAGUUUCUUACAAUCAAAAGAUAGUAUGGAGAGAAGGAAUAUUUUAUUGAUAUUUUCCCUCUUUUUUGUUGAGGCUGAGAUUAACAGUUGGCUAGACAGAACCUUUACAAACUUCAUUUUAGCAAAUUGUAAUAUAUUUUUCACCUUUGUCAUGUUUAGCUGAGUUCAUAAAAAAGGAUAUAUUUUUUUUAAGAAUAUUUUACAAGGAGCAUAGUUGAAGAAUAUCUUGAUGAAAGUAGAUUGAUUGACUUUUUGGUAUUUAACCUUAUUUGAGAAUGAUUUGCUAUAUUUUGGCUGCCAGUUUUUAUUUGUGGAAACAGCCUGGUAAAAACAUUCCCUUUAACAGAGAAACUGGCAACUCUUGUCAAUUAAGAUUGAUGUUAAACACACCUACCAUGUCAGGGGCAGAUCCAGGCAUUUUAUAGGGGGGGGGGGGGGUCCCAACUAAGGACAAAGGGGAGUUCUAACUAUAUGUCCCCAUUCAAAUGCAUUGAUAGGCCAAAAGAGGAGGGAUUUCAACCCCCAGAACCCCCUGGUGGAUCCUCCAACGAAUGUGAGGGUACAGAGAAUUAACAGACUAGUGAAACAGUAGUUGAACUACUUUGACCGUUCAGCCACCAUUACUCCAUCUGCACUAAAAAUGUUAUUGAAAUAUAUAUGUUGAAUAUUUGUAAUUUACUUUUUUUUUUUUUUUUGAUUACCAGUACACUAUUUUUGUUUUUUUUUGUUAUGUAAAACAAAGAUUUGGAGUUCUAACAGGGUGAAAUUUAUGUCAAAGGGAGGUAAUUUAUUGUACUGUGUUUAACUUCAAAUACUUGAAAUUCCCUCAAUGUUAGAUUUUUAUUUAUGGGAAUACUCACGUUUAUGCAUAUAUUUUUUACAUAUCAGAUGUUUUAUUGAUAUAGAAAUUUAGGUUAGGAAAAAUUAUGUAUCACUUAAAAUAAUUACAUGAUUUUUUUUUAAAAGUUUAUUAAUUGAAAGUACAUCUGAUACUUUUAUGUAUGUUAUGUUAUUUUCUAAAACCAAAUGGACACAACAUAGAUUGACAAUAAGAUAUUGAGAAGAACCACCUUAUCAGCCAGGAUAGCAGCUCUUACGAAGAUGGUCAAUCAAAUCUUCAACCAAGUCUGAGGCUUUACCAAGAAAAUAG